This 55-nucleotide transfer RNA is filed under the name Cruznema tripartitum. Its description in RNAcentral is "tRNA-Ala". The record is from RNAcentral. Lineage: Eukaryota; Metazoa; Nematoda; Chromadorea; Rhabditida; Rhabditidae.
GGGGUUUUAGUUUAAUUUAAAAUUUAUGUUUUGCAUACAUAAGAUUUAAACUCUA